Molecule: long non-coding RNA, 563 nt
Filed under: Nicotiana tabacum (common tobacco)
Lineage: Eukaryota; Viridiplantae; Streptophyta; Magnoliopsida; Solanales; Solanaceae
Description: long non-coding RNA (NTAB_LNC000945)
Source: RNAcentral
GACUGGUGGUGGCGGAGAAGCAUAAAUGUAUACUGGAGGGGGAGGUGAUUUUACGGGUGGGGGAGGUGAGGUGUAGUAGUAUGGAGGAGGAGGAGACUUCACAGGUGGAGGUGGGGAGUGGUAAUAGUAUGGAGGUGGUGGAGACUUCACAGGUGGAGGUGGAGAGUGAUAAUAGUAUGGAGGAGGGGGAGACUUCACAGGUGGAGGUGGGGAGUGGUAAUAGUAGGGAGGUGGGGGAGAUGGUGAUGGGGGUGGUGGAGAGUGGUAAUAGUAUGGAGGUGGGGGAGAUGGUGAUGGGGGUGGUGGAGAGUGGUAAUAGUAUGGUGGAGGGGGUGACGGUGAUGGUGGUGGUGGAGACUUGUAGUAAUAGGGAGGUGGAGGUGAUGGUGAUGGUGGGGAGGGGACUUGUAGUAAUAGGGAGGUGGAGGUGAUGGUGAUGGUGGUGGUGGAGACUUGUAAUAGUAUGGCGGAGGAGGAGACGGGUCCGGGGGUGGUGGAGACUUGUAGUAGUAUGGUGGAGGAGGAGAUGGCGAUGGUGGUGGAGGAGACUUGUAAUAGUAAGG